This 443-nucleotide ribosomal RNA is filed under the name uncultured bacterium. Its description in RNAcentral is "partial 16S ribosomal RNA". It matches the Rfam family "Bacterial small subunit ribosomal RNA", at positions 338 to 795 of the family's 1533-position model. The record is from RNAcentral.
CCUACGGGAGGCAGCAGUGGGGAAUAUUGGGCAAUGGGCGCAAGCCUGACCCAGCAACGCCGCGUGAAGGAAGAAGGCUUUCGGGUUGUAAACUUCUUUUCUCAGGGACGAAGAAAGUGAAGGUACCUGAGGAAUAAGCCACGGCUAACUACGUGCCAGAAGGCGCGGUAAUACGUAGGUGGCAAGCGUUAUCCGGAUUUAUUGGGUGUAAAGGGCGUGUAGGCGGGAGAGCAAGUCAGAUGUGAAAACUCAGGGCACAACCCUGAGCCUGCAUUUGAAACUGUGUUUCUUGAGUGCUGGAGAGGCAAACGGAAUUCCGUGUGGAGCGGUGAAAUGCGUAGAGAUACGGAGGAACACCAGUGGCGAAGGCGGAUUGCUGGACAGUAACUGACGCUGAGGCGCGAAAGCGUGGGGAGCAAACAGGAUUAGAUACCCGAGUAGUC